GGAGAUGCAAUUACACCGGUCAAAUAUAGAUGUAAAAUUUUCUACCAACUGCAGAAGUCGAACAUACCAUCACAAAGAAUUAACUCUGGUAGUACUAAUAUACAUGUAACUGGGGAGCUUCACGCCACCACAACAAAUUGAGAAGUCAAAAACCAGAAGGACCCUUCUAUAUUUGGAAAUGGAAAAGGAAAGCAAUGCUUCGCUCUGGGCAUUACUAUAAACCCUUCUCUGGAAGAUGCAUUAAUAACAAAAUGCUUCAAAGUGUUGCCAUGGCCAGCCCCCCACUUUUAAUGUUAUUUCCAGAAUAGGCCAUAGAAACACUCAUCUGAAGCUCUCGCUCUGCUGCUACCCAAAACAAGGUUGCUUCUCAUCUUCUCUUUGACAAAUGCUUUUUGGCAUCGCCUGCAGUAUGCUUCUUCCGCCUUCCACCAGCUGAAGCAGGCUCUACUAAAGGGCCUGACCAAUUCUGGACAGGUUCUUUUGAAUAUGUGAAUGAGGUCGAACUGAAUGGCACAUCCGGAGGGACAAGGGACGGAUCAAUGUGAUGUGAAGCACCCAAGGGAACGCCAAGUCCUCCGUCCUGGUGUGGUGGGGGAAACUUCUCACUCUUGCUCUUUGCAUUUGCGUGAGUGAUUAGGCGACGCCUGUCGAUAUUAGCUUGAUUUUCUGCAUUGGCAUCUGGAGCAGGGCCAGCACGGGUUCGUUCACGAUGGCGUACUCUCUUAGCACCAUCUCCUGUAGCUUUAUUAGCGGCUCUUAGCCGUCUAGCUUCAUCAUCCCGCCGUUUGGCAUCCAUUUCCUUGGUUGGAG
Molecule: unclassified non-coding RNA, 810 nt
Filed under: Hevea brasiliensis (rubber tree)
Lineage: Eukaryota; Viridiplantae; Streptophyta; Magnoliopsida; Malpighiales; Euphorbiaceae
Source: RNAcentral